AGAGUUUGAUCAUGGCUCAGAUUGAACGCUGGCGGCAGGCCUAACACAUGCAAGUCGAACGGUAACAGGAAGCAGCUUGCUGCUUCGCUGACGAGUGGCGGACGGGUGAGUAAUGUCUGGGAAGCUGCCUGAUGGAGGGGGAUAACUACUGGAAACGGUAGCUAAUACUGCGUAAUGUCGCAAGACCAAAGAGGGGGACCUUCGGGCCUCUUGCCAUCGGAUGUGCCCAGAUGGGAUUAGCUUGUUGGUGGGGUAACGGCUCACCAAGGCGACGAUCCCUAGCUGGUCUGAGAGGAUGACCAGCCACACUGGAACUGAGACACGGUCCAGACUCCUACGGGAGGCAGCAGUGGGGAAUAUUGCACAAUGGGCGCAAGCCUGAUGCAGCCAUGCCGCGUGUAUGAAGAAGGCCUUCGGGUUGUAAAGUACUUUCAGCGGGGAGGAAGGGAGUAAAGUUAAUACCUUUGCUCAUUGACGUCACCCGCAGAAGAAGCACCGGCUAACUCCGUGCCAGCAGCCGCGGUAAUACGGAGGGUGCAAGCGUUAAUCGGAAUUACUGGGCGUAAAGCGCACGCAGGCGGUUUGUUAAGUCAGAUGUGAAAUCCCCGGGCUCAACCUGGGAACUGCAUCUGAUACUGGCAAGCUUGAGUCUCGUAGAGGGGGGUAGAAUUCCAGGUGUAGCGGUGAAAUGCGUAGAGAUCUGGAGGAAUACCGGUGGCGAAGGCGGCCCCCUGGACGAAGACUGACGCUCAGGUGCGAAAGCGUGUGGAGCAAACAGGAUUAGAUACCCUGGUAGUCCACGCCGUAAACGAUGUCGACUUGGAGGUUGUGCCCUUGAGGCGUGGCUUCCGGAGCUAACGCGUUAAGUCGACCGCCUGGGGAGUACGGCCGCAAGGUUAAAACUCAAAUGAAUUGACGGGGGCCCGCACAAGCGGUGGAGCAUGUGGUUUAAUUCGAUGCAACGCGGAGAACCUUACCUGGUCUUGACAUCCACGGAAGUUUUCAGAGAUGAGAAUGUGCCUUCGGGAACCGUGAGACAGGUGCUGCAUGGCUGUCGUCAGCUCGUGUUGUGAAAUGUUGGGUUAAGUCCCGCAACGAGCGCAACCCUUAUCCUUUGUUGCCAGCGGUCCGGCCGGGAACUCAAAGGAGACUGCCAGUGAUAGACUGGAGGAAGGUGGGGAUGACGUCAAGUCAUCAUGGCCCUUACGACCAGGGCUACACACGUGCUACAAUGGCGCAUACAAAGAGAAGCGACCUCGCGAGAGCAAGCGGACCUCAUAAAGUGCGUCGUAGUCCGGAUUGGAGUCUGCAACUCGACUCCAUGAAGUCGGAAUCGCUAGUAAUCGUGGAUCAGAAUGCCACGGUGAAUACGUUCCCGGGCCUUGUACACACCGCCCGUCACACCAUGGGAGUGGGUUGCAAAAGAAGUAGGUAGCUUAACCUUCGGGAGGGCGCUUACCACUUUGUGAUUCAUGACUGGGGUGAAGUCGGAACAAGGUA
Molecule: ribosomal RNA, 1500 nt
Filed under: metagenome
Description: bacterial SSU rRNA
Rfam family: Bacterial small subunit ribosomal RNA
Source: RNAcentral